RNAcentral lists this ribosomal RNA (20 nucleotides) under Pseudophialophora eragrostis. RNAcentral's name for it is "partial 28S ribosomal RNA". Lineage: Eukaryota; Fungi; Ascomycota; Sordariomycetes; Magnaporthales; Magnaporthaceae. The record is from RNAcentral.
UUGACCUCGGAUCAAGGUAG